AACGAACGCUGGCGGCACGUUUUAAGCAUGCAAGUCGAACGGCAGUGGGGGCAACCCCAUGAGAGUGGCGAACGGGUGAGUAACACGUAGGUGAUCUGCCUUUGGGUUGGGGAUAGCUUGUGGAAACACAGGGUAAUACCGAAUGAGCUGACGAGGCUUUGGCCAUGUUAGUAAAGGUGCUACGGCACCGCCUAGAGAGGAGCCUGCGGCUGAUUAGCUAGUUGGUGGGGUAAAGGCCUACCAAGGCGACGAUCAGUAGCCGGCCUGGGAGGGUGUACGGCCACACUGGAACUGGGACACGGUCCAGACUCCUACGGGAGGCAGCAGCUAAGAAUCUUCCGCAAUGGGCGAAAGCCUGACGGAGCGAUGCCGCGUGAUCGAUGAAGGUCGAGAGAUUGUAAAGAUCUUUUCCAACUGAGGAAUAAGUGGACCAGGGAAUGGGUUCAUGAUGACGUUAAGUUGGGAAUAAGCCCCGGCUAAUUACGUGCCAGCAGCCGCCGCGG
RNAcentral lists this ribosomal RNA (503 nucleotides) under uncultured bacterium. RNAcentral describes it as "partial 16S ribosomal RNA". It matches the Rfam family "Bacterial small subunit ribosomal RNA", at positions 29 to 523 of the family's 1533-position model. The record is from RNAcentral.